UGACAAACCGGAGGAAGGCGGGGAUGACGUCAAAUCAUCAUGCCCCUUAUGACCUGGGCUACACACGUACUACAAUGGCCGGUACAACGGGCCGCGAAGCCGCGAGGCGGAGCCAAUCCUUAAAAGCCGGUCUCAGUUCGGAUUGCAGGCUGCAACUCGCCUGCAUGAAGUCGGAAUUGCUAGUAAUCGCGGAUCAGCAUGCCGCGGUGAAUACGUUCCCGGGUCUUGUACACACCGCCCGUCACACCACGAGAGUUUACAACACCCGAAGUCGGUGGGGUAACCCGCAAGGGAGCCAGCCGCCGAAGGUGGGGUAGAUGAUUGGGGUGAAGUCGUAACAAGGUAGCCGUAUCGGAAGGUGCGGCUGGAUCACCUCCUUUCUAUGGAGA
Molecule: ribosomal RNA, 389 nt
Filed under: Shigella flexneri
Lineage: Bacteria; Pseudomonadati; Pseudomonadota; Gammaproteobacteria; Enterobacterales; Enterobacteriaceae
Description: bacterial SSU rRNA
Rfam family: Bacterial small subunit ribosomal RNA
Source: RNAcentral